Molecule: ribosomal RNA, 400 nt
Filed under: uncultured bacterium
Lineage: Bacteria
Description: bacterial SSU rRNA
Rfam family: Bacterial small subunit ribosomal RNA
Source: RNAcentral
UAGGGAAUUUUCGGCAAUGGGCGAAAGCCUGACCGAGCAAUGCCGCGUGAACGAAGAAGGUCUUCGGAUCGUAAAGUUCUGUUGUUAAGGAAGAACCCUUCUAAGAGGAAAUGCUUAGAAGCUGACGGUACUUAACGAGAAAGCUCCGGCUAACUACGUGCCAGCAGCCGCGGUAAUACGUAGGGAGCGAGCGUUAUCCGGAAUUAUUGGGCGUAAAGCGUGCGUAGGCGGCCUAUUAAGUCAAAUGUGAAAGCCCACAGCUCAACUGUGGAGGGUCAUUUGAAACUGGUAAGCUAGAGUACGGCAGAGGUUAGUGGAAUUCAAUGUGUAGCGGUAAAAUGCGUUGAUAUAUUGAGGAACACCAGUGGCGAAGGCGGCUAACUGGACCGGAACUGACGCU